This 2026-nucleotide long non-coding RNA is filed under the name Sus scrofa (pig). RNAcentral's name for it is "lncRNA (ENSSSCG00005043277.1)". The record is from RNAcentral. Lineage: Eukaryota; Metazoa; Chordata; Mammalia; Artiodactyla; Suidae.
UGCGCGAUGCCUCAGAGGACUCGGAGUACUGGAGGGCGCUGACCACGGUUAUCCCUGCUGCCACGCUGAGCCUCUGGGACGUUCUGUACACAGCCUUGGAGAAGUACCACCUCGUCCUGACCCAGAGGGCUGAGCUGCUGAUAGAAAACCGUUCCUUGGAGCAGCAGAACACGGAGCUCCAGCAGCUGCUGCAGCAGUACUUAGACUCCAAGGUGGGUGACAGAGGCCCUCCAGCAAGGAGAGGCAGGAUGCCAGCCGAGGCAGGAUGCCAGGGGAGGCCACGGGCCUGGAGCAGCUCUCAGGAAAUGAGGACCCCUCCCUCACCAGAGCCAAGGGAGCUUUGCCAUGUGGAUUGUAAUAGUGUCCCUUUGAUAUCCAUGGUUUUGUGUUUUUUCCCUGCCCCCCCCCCCUUUUUUUUAAAGGUCACACAUGCAGCAUAUGGAGGUUCCCAGGCUAGGGGUCAAAUCAGAGCUGCAACAACAGACCAACACCACAGCUCACGGCAACACCAGAUCUUUAACCCACGGAGCGAGGCUAGGGAUCAAACCUGCAUCCUCACAGGCACUAUGUCGGGUUCUUAACCUGCUGAGCCACAAUGGGAGCUCCUGUCCAUGGUUUUUGGCACCAGCUGCUUGUCGGACCGCCUUUAGAGGCAGUGCCAAAGCCAGCGCUGGCUUCACAGCUUACAGGGCGCUUCCAUAUGAAUUUUCUUCUUUGGUCCUAACGGCCAGUUUGUGAGGCACAUGGGGCAGAAAUGACUCUCCCUCUUUCAUGGAAACGAGAAUCAAAAUCCAGAGACUCUGGGAUUUGCGGGAGCUCGGGCUCUUCCUGCUCUGCCAGCCCCGGGUAUCUGGCCUAGGAUGCGACGUGAGAAGAGGAGGCUCCACUGGGGGCAUAUUCCCCGGUGCCCGCUCGUGCCUGCUCCAGGGACAGCUGGGCCCGGCAGGAGGGAUCUCACCCUCCUCUCUCAAAGGAAGAGGCCAUCAGCACUGCAGUUGCUCUGCCCCAGGCUCGUGUGCCAUCCUUCCGGUGGUGAAGGGUCCUACCCCUGGGUGAGCGUAGGUCCUCUGCCAUCGACUGAGGCCACCUGCAAGCCCAGGCCCUGGGGAUGUGCAGCCUCGCGGGGUCUCGGGCCCCAGGCCAUGUCUGAGCGGGGGACGUAGUGAGCCUGGGGGUCCCAGUGGCCUCUUGGCUCGUGACGGGACUCAGACGUGCGGGAACUGUAAGGUCUGUACCUCCUCCGAUGUGGACAGGAGGAUGGCGAGGAGGGGGAAGCGGGGGCUCGCCUGGGACGGGGUGGGCUGCGACGGGAGGAUUCGAGAGGAUGGAUCAGAGGGAGAGUCAGGAGCAUUUCCAGAGGCUGGCGAGCUGGAGCGGAGGCCAGACAGGGAGCCCCAGGACUGGUUUUCUGAGGACGGCGGGCGGUGGGCUUUCCCAGGCAGCUGGAAGAUUUGGGGGGAAAGUGCUUCCUCUUCUUCUUCUUUUUUUUUUUUUAUAUAGUGAUUUUUAUUUUUUCCAUUAUAGCUGGUUUACAGUGUUCUGUCAAUGUCCUACCAUACAGCAGGGUGACCCAAUGACACAUACCUGUAUACAUUCUUUUUUCUCCCAUGGUCAUGCUCCACCAUAAGUGACCAGACAUGGUUCCCAGUGCUACACAGCAGGAUCUCAUUGCUAAUCCCUUCCAAAGGCAAUAGUCUGCAUCCAGGGAAGUGCUGCUAAUGAUUCGGGGUCUGUGGGAGGGAGGAGGACUCUGGGGAACGUGGGGUGAUCUUCCUCCUUCUUUUCCAGGUAAACUCCGAACUGCAAGUUCCUCCAACUCACGUGUUCCGAAUGCCCACAAAAUAGACUCAGAUCUCGAAAGGCUACCAGGUUAGGGUGGACGUUGGUUUCAGCCUUGAUACUGGAGGCGGUGUCCCCAGGGAGCUGCCUGGGCUUGCUCGCUCGCUUUUCUAGCUGCUGUUUUGGGGACUGUCAGGUUAAGGCAACCAGAGGAGUUACAUGUAUCCUUUGGUCAUGAUUAAAGUCU